RNAcentral lists this long non-coding RNA (237 nucleotides) under Lathyrus oleraceus (garden pea). RNAcentral's name for it is "Pisum sativum (pea) long non-coding RNA (PSAT_LNC015172)". Lineage: Eukaryota; Viridiplantae; Streptophyta; Magnoliopsida; Fabales; Fabaceae. The record is from RNAcentral.
GAGUUUUGGCAAUCCAUGAUUGGUGUAUGGUUGAUCUGUGGAUGAUCCCUUCUGUUCCAAUUUUUGCCUCGAUGUUUUAGAGAUGUUUAUCCCUCUAUAUCAGGCACUAGCAUUUAUGUUUUAUCAAUUAUAUGGUUGUCAUACCUUGUGUGGACUGACCUAAAAUCCCUUAUAGAUUGAUAAACGUUGAUGUGCUUUAAGUUGAGAAUAUUCCUUAUCCUGACUGUCUACUCACGA